AUUGCUGAUUUGGUCAAGAUCUAAACAUAUCGUAGAGCUCCAGCAUGGUGGCUCACGCCUGUAAUACAAACACUUUGGAAGGCCAAGGGCCUCACUCUGUCACCUAGGCUGGAGUGCAAUGGUAUGAUCAUGGCUCACUGCAGCCUUGACUUUCCAAGUUCAAGCAAUCCUCCCACCUCAGCCUCCCGAGUAGCACAGCUGGGACCACAGGCACAUGCUACCAUGCCCAGCUAAUUUUUGUAUUUUUUGUAGAGACAGGGUUUCACCAUGUUGCCCAGGUUGGUCUUAAACCCUGGCUCAAGCAAUCCACCUGCCGUGGCCUCCCAAAGUGCUGGAAUUAUGGGCGUAAGCCAUUGCACCCAGGUCCAAAGAGUUAAAAUUAAUUGGUAAACCCUCAGCAGGAAGAGCACAACUGAGGAAAUUAAGAGAGCCAACAAAGCAUGAGGAUCUGUAAUGAUAUUCCUGGUUUCAUUCUUAAUAUGGUUUUUGUUCCUCUAUUUCCCAUUUCUCACCUUCCUGUGACAAACCAAGUCUGAAGAUUCAGCCGUAUGUGGGAUCCUGCAGGGACUGCCUGCCCUAAAAGCCAAGAAGAGAAAACGCUUAUGAGAUACAAGGUCCUUGGAAGGUCGCCGGGAUGGCCAGCAAGCCAACAGGACUUACUAGUUCAUGAAGACAUGACUCAGCUGUGUUCAGUUACCUCCUCAAUCCACCUAUCUCUCAUAGGAUCAUGAAGACACGACUCAGCUGUGUUCAGUUACUUCCUCAAUCCACCUAUCUCUCUCCCUUGAAAACAC
RNAcentral lists this non-coding RNA (794 nucleotides) under Pongo abelii (Sumatran orangutan). The record is from RNAcentral. Lineage: Eukaryota; Metazoa; Chordata; Mammalia; Primates; Hominidae.